This 213-nucleotide long non-coding RNA is filed under the name Danio rerio (zebrafish). Its description in RNAcentral is "lncRNA si:dkey-118j18.3 (ENSDARG00000096455.3)". The record is from RNAcentral. Lineage: Eukaryota; Metazoa; Chordata; Actinopteri; Cypriniformes; Danionidae.
AUGUUCCUCUGUGUCGAGUUUCUUCGCUACUUUUUUACUUUUCCUGAACACUUCCGGGAUGUACAAGUGGCUCAAACUCGCUCAUUUUGAGGCAGGAACUGGUGGACGUACAACAACUUUAACUAUGAGCAGGUUCCUUGUAAAGAUUAACCCAGGGAAGGAUCGAAAGUGGAGAAGACCAGAUCAAGAAAGACUACAUCAAGAUCUGCGGUC